GCGGCGCCUGCCGUCGUCCAAACAAUAGGAGCCGGCGGCGUUUCCUCAGGGCCCCGGGAUGGAGGACGACGACGACGACGACGACGAGGAGGAGGAGGAGGCCGCCUUUCUCCCGUCGUGUUUGUAACUGCGUCAGGGCAAGAUGGCGCCGGGGCCUCCCGGGGCGCGCCGCCUCAGCGCAUGUGACCGGCCUGCAUUCCUCUGGGGGUGUUCCACAUACCUGCCUGUGGUCUUCUAGACUCUUCUUCCUACUGAUUCUCCAUCAACACCCUAUUCUCUGCCAGUAACCAGACCACUUUGUCAUCUCCCCAGCAUGCUUUAAAUGUGCCUCCGCAAUUCCUCCCACUGAAGCAAGUAUUCUCUCAUCCCCUUAAAAUUUCUCCCACUGUGUUAAGUGCUGUAUGUCAUCUUCUCUCUGUCUUUCCACCCACUUUAUUUUUCCAUUAAUUUACCCACUGUGUUUACGUCACUAUUGUAGAAAUGCCGAUACUCCGUUUAGCUAUAAGGCAUAUUUUCCCUAUGCAUUUUGGCCAGGAAGUGUUAGGAGAAUUAGAGAACAUUCUUCUGACAGUGCAACCCACACGAUGUAGGAAAUGAAUGGAGCAGCCCCCAUUUCCUCCAUUUGCAAGCUGCCCUUAAGGCAGGGGUCAGAAAAGACCUAUCCCCCAGGUCUCAACCUGUGUUGGGCUUGAAGUUUUCACUGUUUUCUUAAAUGCUUAGUACUGUGCUCUGCAUUAAAUAAUCACUCAAUAAAUGUCAUUGGUUUUUUUUUCCUUCUAUCAAUUUCUCAAGUUCUAAGGCUCACCCACCUGGUUAGUUCUGUCGAACUUUCCAUAUCCCAUGUGUUGUCUUCAACUCCUACCUUAUGGAUCUCUUUUUAUAGCACUUUUAAUCUACUCUGCUACCUUUCUUCACAAGUUUAAAGUUCUGCACCAACUUGCCCUAAACAGGAUGGCAUGAAUGGCAUCUGCCUAACUCAGAUUAUACAGCUGCAUAUUUUAUCUGUUACGUUGUCUUCUUCCAUUUAAGAACAGAAGAUCAAGGUGAUUAGCAGGAUAUCUAUACCACUAAGUAUUCCUAGCUUCAGAUUAUAACUACUGCAGCUGGGCUUCUCUGGACAACAGUCCUAAUAGAUGUUUAAAAAUAUUUAAAGUAAAACUACUGAAAGGCAAGACUACUAAUGGAAAAUUCACAAACCAGCUACUCAUAGCAAAAUAUGACCUGCAUAAGGUUGCUAUCCCUGUUUUGUUCUUAAAAUGAUAUUUAAGCAGUUGAAAUUGGCUGAAAAGUGCAGUCUGAUAGGCAAGUGAAUGGAGGAAAGUUUUCUGCCACCUGCAGAUUACACCUUGGCGUUUGGCUUUCAACUAAAAUUCUUAGGAAGAGAGCAAUUUCAGUGGAAUUUUGUGCAGUGUUGACAUUGGAUGGAAUCAAUAACUGCAACUUAAAAAUUGUUUAAGCACAGUUUUAGGGCCCCUGUCAAGUUACAUAAAUAUGCUCUUGUGGCUUUUCAAAUUGAUAGGUGUUUUCUCCCCUCCUUCAUCCUCCCCCCCGCCCCAAAAAAGAGAAAAGGUAAAGUGCAGGAUUCUGUAAAACUGAGCCUCAUCUGUGGGACUUUGGGGGUGUAGUUUUGAAAAAAAUCCUGACCUCGUUGUGAAUAUCCUUCCUUUUACCAAUCAACCACAUUAUUUCAGAUAAAUCCUUCUCUCCUUGAAUUUCAUUUAGUCUCUGUCCCUUUUUGUGUGUGGUGUCACUUUCUCUUGACUCAUCUCUUCCAUUUGCAUCACUUGUACCGCCAUUCCCUGCAGAAAGCUGCUGUGACCACAAUGGACAGAUAACCAACAUUGGGUAAAGAAUCACUACAGAUCCGGAGGGGCUGUUCUCAAGCCUAAAUGUUUACGUGGUUAAAGGGACCACACAGCACAGUGUGUAUUGGGCAGAUGAAGGCACUUCUUCUGAAUCCUUGACUUGAGAUUCAGUUACAUGAGUGCUCUUAUGAAUAAAUGGAAACAUCUUGUCUACAAAAAGCCACGGAUGAUGUGGCUUCGAAGUGCAGUGAGGGCAUAGGUGCUGCCAAACCUGCAGUGGAAAAACUUGGAGGUUUCAAGGUGAGUACUGCUGAAUGAACAAGGUAUUGGCGUCUUUUUGGAAGAGCUGUAUUUGCCUACGCAGUCUUCAACACGCAAUGUGUCCCCAGGUGCAACGUGAGAUUCCAGAUAUCCUUGCUUGUUCUUUUAUCCUAAAAUGUGCAUCCUUACUGCAUAUCCAGCAUGCCAUACAAUAAAACCUUUUGCAAGAACGCUGAAAA
Tachyglossus aculeatus (Australian echidna) is the source of this 2305-nucleotide long non-coding RNA. RefSeq lists it as uncharacterized. NCBI's taxonomy places the organism in Eukaryota, Metazoa, Chordata, Mammalia, Monotremata, Tachyglossidae. The record is from RefSeq and is a predicted model, not a curated record. The transcript is spliced from 5 exons.